This 73-nucleotide transfer RNA is filed under the name Camelus bactrianus (Bactrian camel). It matches the Rfam family "tRNA". From Rfam's summary of the family: Transfer RNA (tRNA) molecules are approximately 80 nucleotides in length. Their secondary structure includes four short double-helical elements and three loops (D, anti-codon, and T loops). Further hydrogen bonds mediate the characteristic L-shaped molecular structure. tRNAs have two regions of fundamental functional importance: the anti-codon, which is responsible for specific mRNA codon recognition, and the 3' end, to which the tRNAs corresponding amino acid is attached (by aminoacyl-tRNA synthetases). tRNAs cope with the degeneracy of the genetic code in two manners: having more than one tRNA (with a specific anti-codon) for a particular amino acid; and 'wobble' base-pairing, i.e. permitting non-standard base-pairing at the 3rd anti-codon position. Lineage: Eukaryota; Metazoa; Chordata; Mammalia; Artiodactyla; Camelidae. RNAcentral also lists the same sequence under 2 other names. The record is from Rfam by way of RNAcentral.
GAGGGUAUAGCUCAAGUGGUAGAGUACAUGCUUAACAUGCACAAGGUCCUGGGUUCAAUUCCAAGUACCGCUA